Molecule: ribosomal RNA, 276 nt
Filed under: uncultured bacterium
Lineage: Bacteria
Description: partial 16S ribosomal RNA
Rfam family: Bacterial small subunit ribosomal RNA
Source: RNAcentral
AAACUGAAGAUGGCGACCGGCGCACGGGUGAGUAACACGUAUCCAACCUGCCGAUAACUCUGGAAUAGCCUUUCGAAAGAAAGAUUAAUACCGGAUAGUAUACGAAUAUCGCAUGAUAUUUUUUAUUUAAAGAAUUUCGGUUAUCGAUGGGGAUGCGUUCCAUUAGUUUGUUGGCGGGUAACGGCCCACCAAGACUACGAUGGAUAGGGGUUCUGAGAGGAAGGUCCCCCACAUUGGAACUGAGACACGGUCCAAACUCCUACGGGAGGCAGCAUG